This 301-nucleotide ribosomal RNA is filed under the name uncultured bacterium. RNAcentral describes it as "partial 16S ribosomal RNA". It matches the Rfam family "Bacterial small subunit ribosomal RNA", at positions 509 to 807 of the family's 1533-position model. The record is from RNAcentral.
CAGUCGCCGCGGUAAUACGGAGGGAGCUAGCGUUGUUCGGAAUUACUGGGCGUAAAGCGCGCGUAGGCGGUUACUCAAGUCAGAGGUGAAAGCCCGGGGCUCAACCCCGGAACUGCCUUUGAAACUAGGUGACUAGAAUCUUGGAGAGGUCAGUGGAAUUCCGAGUGUAGAGGUGAAAUUCGUAGAUAUUCGGAAGAACACCAGUGGCGAAGGCGGCUGACUGGACAAGUAUUGACGCUGAGGUGCGAAAGCGUGGGGAGCAAACAGGAUUAGAUACCCGAGUAGUCCCUGUCUCUUAUAC